GAUGAACGCUGGCGGCGUGCCUAAUACAUGCAAGUCGAGCGAACAGAUGAGGAGCUUGCUCCUCUGACGUUAGCGGCGGACGGGUGAGUAACACGUGGAUAACCUACCUAUAAGACUGGGAUAACUUCGGGAAACCGGAGCUAAUACCGGAUAAUAUAUUGAACCGCAUGGUUCAAUAGUGAAAGACGGUUUUGCUGUCACUUAUAGAUGGAUCCGCGCCGCAUUAGCUAGUUGGUAAGGUAACGGCUUAACAAGGCAACGAUGCGUAGCCGACCUGAGAGGGUGAUCGGCCACACUGGAACUGAGACACGGUCCAGACUCCGACGGGAGGCAGCAGUAGGGAAUCUUCCGCGAUGGGCGAAAGCCUGACGGAGCAACGCCGCGUGAGUGAUGAAGGUCUUCGGAUCGUAAAACUCUGUUAUUAGGGAAGAACAAAUGUGUAAGUAACUAUGCACGUCUUGACGGUACCUAAUCAGAAAGCCACGGCUAACUACGUG
Molecule: ribosomal RNA, 497 nt
Filed under: uncultured bacterium
Lineage: Bacteria
Description: partial 16S ribosomal RNA
Rfam family: Bacterial small subunit ribosomal RNA
Source: RNAcentral